RNAcentral lists this long non-coding RNA (264 nucleotides) under Mytilus galloprovincialis (Mediterranean mussel). The record is from RNAcentral. Lineage: Eukaryota; Metazoa; Mollusca; Bivalvia; Mytilida; Mytilidae.
CUCUUCAUACUAGCACAGAAAUAGAUAAAUAAUGUGCAAAUGGGGGGGAUGCUACUCUUGAAUACAAUGUAUUCCGCAUUAUAAUUGAUGUUACUUUAAAAAAUGUAAAAAACUGUCAAACGGAUAACAUUGAUUACGCCAUUAUUGUUUUGUGUCAUGGAUGAGCCUGAUAUAUUCAGGUUAGAGUAAAAUGAUAGGUAACGUUAUUUUAGACACACAAAAUAAAGAACACAACUGUUUUGGUCACAUCCAUAUGAUAAAAGC